Molecule: ribosomal RNA, 253 nt
Filed under: uncultured bacterium
Lineage: Bacteria
Description: partial 16S ribosomal RNA
Rfam family: Bacterial small subunit ribosomal RNA
Source: RNAcentral
UACGUAGGGGGCAAGCGUUGUCCGGAUUUAUUGGGCGUAAAGGGCGCGCAGGCGGUUCGUUUAGUCCGAGGUGAAAUCUCCCGGCUCAACUGGGAGGGGUCUUUGGAUACUGGCGGACUUGAGGUGAGCAGAGGUGAGCGGAAUUCUGGGUGUAGUGGUGAAAUGCGUAGAUAUCCAGAGGAACACCAGUGGCGAAGGCGGCUCACUGGGCUCCACCUGACGCUGAGGCGCGAAAGCGUGGGGAGCGAACCGG